GUCCAAUGCUGCAAUUCUCCAUCUAAGUUCUUUCAUUCUAUUUCUUCUUAUGUCUUUUCUUUAUUUAAUAAACUUGAUUUUAAAACUCAUCAUGUGUGAGUAGUUCUUUGUUCUAGGGUUAGGGAUGUAGCACUCUCAAUUUAAUUAUGGAUCUUAUUUGAUUUUAUUUAAUAUAUUAGGUGUUGGUACCCACCUUAGUAUUAAUUCUAGAUAUUAAAUGAAUGACUGAAAUGUGAAGAUUAAUAUUGAAAAAUCAAGAUUUUGAACUUAGGAUUCUUG
This 279-nucleotide unclassified non-coding RNA is filed under the name Hevea brasiliensis (rubber tree). The record is from RNAcentral. Lineage: Eukaryota; Viridiplantae; Streptophyta; Magnoliopsida; Malpighiales; Euphorbiaceae.